UACGGGGGGAGCAAGCGUUGUUCGGAUUUACUGGGCGUAAAGGGCGCGUAGGCGGCCACCGCAAGUCGAUUGUGAAAUCUCCGGGCUUAACCCGGAAAGGUCAACCGAUACUGCGGGGCUAGAGUGCAGAAGGGGCAACUGGAAUUCUCGGUGUAGCGGUGAAAUGCGUAGAUAUCAGGAAGAACACCCGUGGCGAAGGCGGCUCUCUGGGACGGUACUGACGCUGAGACGCGAAAGCGUGGGGAGCGAACAGG
This 254-nucleotide ribosomal RNA is filed under the name uncultured bacterium. RNAcentral describes it as "partial 16S ribosomal RNA". It matches the Rfam family "Bacterial small subunit ribosomal RNA", at positions 524 to 776 of the family's 1533-position model. The record is from RNAcentral.